UACAAAGUAAGUACCGGGUAUAUACAAAGUAAAUACCAGGUAAGUACCAGGUAUAUACAAAGUAAGUACUUAGUAAGUACCUGGUACAUACAGGUAAGUACUAGGUGUAUGCAAAGUAAGUAAAAUGUAAGUACUUAGUAAGUACCAGGUAUAUAAAAAGUAAGUACCAGGUAAGUACUUAAUAAGCCCCAGGUACAUACAAAGUACCAGGUAAGUACCAGGUGUACACAAAGUAAGUACUUAGUAAGUACCAGGUAUAUACAGGUAAGUACUAGGUAUAUACAAAGUAAGUAAAAGGUAAGUACUUUGUAAGUACCAGGUACAGUAUAUACAAAGUAAGUACUGGGUAUAUACAAAGUAAGUACCAGGUAAGGACUUAGUAAGUCCCAGGUAUAUACAAAGUACCAGGUAAGUACCAGGUAUAUACAAAGUAAGUACUUAGUAAGUACCAGGUUUACACAGAUAAGUACUAGGUAUAUACAAAGUAAGUACCAGGUAAGUACUUAGUAAGUACCAGGUAUAUGCAAAGUAAUUAUCAGGUAUGUACUUGGUAAGUACCAGUUAUAUACAAAGUAAGUACCUGGUAUGUACUUGGUAAGUACCAGGUAUGUACAAAGUACCAGGUAAGUACUUAGUAUGUACCAGGUAUAUACAAUGUAAGUACCAGGUAUGUACUUGGUAAGUAUCAGAUAUGUACAAGGUAAGUACCAGGUAUAUACUAAGUAAGUACCAGGUAAAUACUUAGUAAGUACCAGGUAUAUACUUUGUAAGUACCAGGUAUGCACAACGUAAGUACCAGGUAAAUACAAAGUGAGUUUUAACUGUUUUAAAUAUUUUACUCAAUUCAACCUAAUUAGCUUAUAAUCGAUUUAUCAGUUCAAUAAAAUUUGAGAAGAAAGGACAACAUGAAAAUAUUACCAAAGUGGGGUGAAAUCCUUUGCAACACACUGUACUGCCUGUUUGUUUGUCUGUUAGUAAAAUAUCUCAUGGACUACUGCACAGACUUUAAUGCAACUGACAGGAAGUAA
Long non-coding RNA from Austrofundulus limnaeus, 1028 nucleotides. RefSeq lists it as uncharacterized. The record is from RefSeq and is a predicted model, not a curated record. NCBI's taxonomy places the organism in Eukaryota, Metazoa, Chordata, Actinopteri, Cyprinodontiformes, Rivulidae. The transcript has 2 exons.